Molecule: long non-coding RNA, 507 nt
Organism: Vidua macroura (Pin-tailed whydah)
Lineage: Eukaryota; Metazoa; Chordata; Aves; Passeriformes; Viduidae
Exons: 2
Source: RefSeq, a predicted model, not a curated record
CGCCACCCAGUGGUGCCGCUGCGUUCGGCCGCGUCUGAGGGUGCCUGCGGGAGGCGGAGGACUGGGUGGCAAUCCCUCAGGGACAGUGACCCGUGUGGCUGCCGGGCGUCUCCGAGAGCCUGCGGCACUCCAAGGACAACUUCUCUUUGUGAAGAAAUCAGGCAGUGCUGUGGAAUUACAUCGGAUGUAGCCUUGCUUAUUUUUUCCUAUUGCUGUCAACACAACAUAUGCAGUCUUUUGGGCUGCCAACUCUCAUCUCUUACAUCAAGGAAACUGAAUCAUCUCUACCUUGGCCUAAAAGAAAUAACAGAGCUUGUAUAAAUAUAUUUUGAUAAUGUCCUUGAGAUUCCUGAAGACACAAAAAAGCAGGAACAGUACGUACAUUUUUUUUUCUUUUGCUGUUUGAAAAGCUGUGCCAUCAGUGGCCAUUUGUACUUAGCUGAAAUUGCAGCAUUGGAUUCUAUCAACACAAUAAAUAAAUAAACAGAUGAUUGUGAGCGCAGUGAA